UUUUCUUUGAAUAUAAUUUAA
This 21-nucleotide small nuclear RNA is filed under the name Arabidopsis thaliana (thale cress). RNAcentral describes it as "snRNA_13717". Lineage: Eukaryota; Viridiplantae; Streptophyta; Magnoliopsida; Brassicales; Brassicaceae. The record is from RNAcentral.